UAGGGAAUAUUGGGCAAUGGACGCAAGUCUGACCCAGCCAUGCCGCGUGCAGGAAGAAGGCGUUAUGCGUUGUAAACUGCUUUUAUACAGGAAGAAACGACUCUUGCGAGAGGCAUUGACGGUACUGUAUGAAUAAGCACCGGCUAACUCCGUGCCAGCAGCCGCGGUAAUACGGAGGGUGCAAGCGUUGUCCGGAUUUAUUGGGUUUAAAGGGUGCGCAGGUGGUUUAUUAAGUCAGUGGUGAAAGACGGUCGCUCAACGAUUGCAGUGCCAUUGAAACUGGUAGACUUGAGUAAAGUAGAGGUGGGCGGAAUUGAUAGUGUAGCGGUGAAAUGCAUAGAUAUUAUCAAGAACUCCAAUUGCGUAGGCAGCUCACUUGGCUUUUACUGACACUCAUGCACGAAAGUGUGGGUAUCAAACAGG
This 423-nucleotide ribosomal RNA is filed under the name uncultured bacterium. RNAcentral's name for it is "bacterial SSU rRNA". It matches the Rfam family "Bacterial small subunit ribosomal RNA", at positions 355 to 776 of the family's 1533-position model. The record is from RNAcentral.